UAAAGCAUUUAUAAUUUUGUUGGAUAUAGCUAUUUUAUUGAAUUCUAGAAUAUUUUAGUACAUGAUAUGACACUACAAGGGCACAGAAAUCCAACUAAUCCAAGCUAUGUGCACUUUCAGCACAUAAAAGAAAUCUAAUCCUGUUUAGGGAUGAAGUUUUGAGCCCCUGGUGUCAUUUCAGGGAUAUACAAUGAAUCCCUGUCCUGUGUUUUCAGUACCUUUUAGAAAUUCAUCUUAGUCAUUCCAAAAGGAUUGUUGUCCUAAGCUAGUCUGCAUCCUCAUGGAGACCAUUACCUUCCUUCUCUGCUAUAGCCUCCUCCUAAGACCAGAAUGGAAGAAACCUGACUCUGGAGCUUGACCAGAUUGGUCUUGACAAUCAAAGGAAUCAGAAAUGAAAACACGUUGAUGGCAAGGUUCCUGGCCAAACCGAAAGAGCAAUCAAAUUCCCUCGGACUCGGUUGGCAUUCCCCCAUAUUCUUAUGCCUGUU
Sapajus apella (tufted capuchin) is the source of this 488-nucleotide long non-coding RNA. RefSeq lists it as uncharacterized. The transcript has 2 exons. The record is from RefSeq and is a predicted model, not a curated record. NCBI's taxonomy places the organism in Eukaryota, Metazoa, Chordata, Mammalia, Primates, Cebidae.